Molecule: ribosomal RNA, 253 nt
Filed under: uncultured bacterium
Lineage: Bacteria
Description: partial 16S ribosomal RNA
Rfam family: Bacterial small subunit ribosomal RNA
Source: RNAcentral
UACAGAGGUCCCAAGCGUUGUUCGGAUUCACUGGGCGUAAAGGGUGCGUAGGUGGCCAGGUAAGUUUGGUGUGAAAGCUCGGAGCUUAACUCCGAAAAGUCAUUGAAUACUAUCUGGCUGGAGGGUCGGAGGGGAGACUGGAAUUCUCGGUGUAGCAGUGAAAUGCGUAGAUAUCGAGAGGAACACCAGUGGCGAAGGCGAGUCUCUGGGCCGAUACUGACGCUGAGGAGCGAAAGCGUGGGGAGCGAACAGG